Molecule: long non-coding RNA, 1624 nt
Organism: Stegostoma tigrinum
Lineage: Eukaryota; Metazoa; Chordata; Chondrichthyes; Orectolobiformes; Stegostomatidae
Exons: 7
Source: RefSeq, a predicted model, not a curated record
UGGAAUUCUCCAGCAUCUGCAGUUCCCAUUAUCACUGAUACUUAAAAUGUGUUGCUUACAAAUAACCAAAGAAGUGCAACAUUUUUUAACAGACAUAAGCAGAGAAACAAGCUUGAAAAACACGAGGAGGCUUUUGACCAGACUUGAAGAAGUGCAGAAUUUACAUUUACAAUAGGACCCCAGAAAAAAUAAACAGAAAUAGUAGUUCAGAGAACAAAUAUGAGGAUGACUCUUGCAGCAUGCACAAACAAGAGAAAGUGAGCUGGAUCAUAUAAACCAUAACAACAUGAUCUGCGGCGUAUACUGGUGAAGUUCUAUUCAUUGCUUAGAAAAGAAUCCAUGAUUUGAUGACAAAACCCCUCAAAAUAUCAAACAGGACAGCACACAUAUUUCCACAUUUUGUACAGAAUUUUCUCUGACAACCCUGAUCAAUUUCAUUCGGAAUGGAUAUGCCCCUUGAAUGACUUGUUGGGGCACACGUCUAAACACUGAACUGUGAAUAUUAGACCCUCAGACCACUGGAAUACCUGUUCUUCAUAUUGACCUACAUCUUCAUUCCAUCCAACUGUUGUCAUGGACGUGUACAGAAACUCAAUGGAGCAUUUCAGCAAUGAAGAGAGGCUGCAUAAACUCAGUUACACUUUUCAGAAAAACAGCGACAACUUUUUGAGUGGAAAUACUGCAUAGCUCGAGAAGCAUUAGUCCACAUGGAGGAGGCAGGGAGGAUGGGCUUCAGGAACUACCACAGUACCAGGCCUUCACUCCCCACAUCUCAGUAACAUAUAUGUAUUGUAAAAACCUGAGGCCCCAACACAGAACCCUGUGGAACUCCACUGGUCACAUCCAAACAACACCCAGUUCUGCAGAUUUGCUAUUUUCUGCCAACCAGACAACAUGCUGUCAAUGCUAAUGUCAUAUACUAGAUCCAAGGUCAUUUCCAGCACUGAGCAGAUGUCCAGGACCCUGGAGUUGGGCGCAACAUGACCAUCUGGAUUCUCAUUCUUUGCUGCAAAGAAGUGUCGAUCUCCCUCACUAUACUAUCACCUACUACAAUUAUGGUUGCUCCUCCAACUUGAGUGGCAUUCCUCUACACAAUCAAUUUGCACACUCACCCUGCAACCCUGCUACUAUCCAAAGAAGCUCAAUCCUAACUGAUAACUGCAGAAGUUGGCACUCUAACCCCGAGGAUCCCUUUUCUACCUCACUAACAAUAACAUGCCUUUGUCCCUGACCAAUGACCAAAACAGCCUAAGUGGCGUGACUGCUCCUGGUACAAAGAAUCCCUUUCCCUAAUGUAUCACAGUGUUUGUAUUCAAUCUCCAGCUCAUAAAGCCUGACCACAGCUAUUCAAAUUUCAAACACUUACUUCAAGCAUAUCUGCCCUGGAUCACAGUGGUAUCCAGGAAUAGCCACAUACUGCAGCCUUGACACAUAAUCUGAACUACCAUCCUUAAUAAGUUAAUUAUUCUAUAUAUAUAUGUGUGAACUUUACCACCAAUUUGUAUAAUAUUACUUCCAGAAUAAAAAAAGCUUAAUGACUUUCGAGAGACUCACCAGUUAGCUCUUUUCUCUCCAGUAGAGCAAAGCCACAGUUAAAAGCAAUGCUGAUGAUAAUCAUGAGGAA